CUGGCGGCGUGCCUAAUACAUGCAAGUAGAACGCUGAAGAGAGGAGCUUGCUCUUCUUGGAUGAGUUGCGAACGGGUGAGUAACGCGUAGGUAACCUGCCUUGUAGCGGGGGAUAACUAUUGGAAACGAUAGCUAAUACCGCAUAACAAUAGGUGACACAUGUCAUUUAUUUGAAAGGGGCAAUUGCUCCACUACAAGAUGGACCUGCGUUGUAUUAGCUAGUAGGUGAGGUAACGGCUCACCUAGGCGACGAUACAUAGCCGACCUGAGAGGGUGAUCGGCCACACUGGGACUGAGACACGGCCCAGACUCCUACGGGAGGCAGCAGUAGGGAAUCUUCGGCAAUGGGGGCAACCCUGACCGAGCAACGCCGCGUGAGUGAAGAAGGUUUUCGGAUCGUAAAGCUCUGUUGUAAGUCAAGAACGAGUGUGAGAGUGGAAAGUUCACACUGUGACGGUAGCUUACCAGAAAGGGACGGCUAACUACGUGCCAGCAGCCGCGGUAAUACGUAGGUCCCGAGCGUUGUCCGGAUUUAUUGGGCGCAAAGCGAGCGCAGGCGGUUUGAUAAGUCUGAAGUUAAAGGCUGUGGCUCAACCAUAGUUCGCUUUGGAAACUGUCAAACUUGAGUGCAGAAGGGGAGAGUGGAAUUCCAUGUGUAGCGGUGAAAUGCGUAGAUAUAUGGAGGAACACCGGUGGCGAAAGCGGCUCUCUGGUCUGUAACUGACGCUGAGGCUCGAAAGCGUGGGGAGCGAACAGGAUUAGAUACCCUGGUAGUCCACGCCGUAAACGAUGAGUGCUAGGUGUUGGAUCCUUUCCGGGAUUCAGUGCCGCAGCUAACGCAUUAAGCACUCCGCCUGGGGAGUACGACCGCAAGGUUGAAACUCAAAGGAAUUGACGGGGGCCCGCGCAAGCGGUGGAGCAUGUGGUUUAAUUCGAAGCAACGCGAAGAACCUUACCAGGUCUUGACAUCCCGAUGCUAUUUCUAGAGAUAGAAAGUUACUUCGGUACAUCGGUGACAGGUGGUGCAUGGUUGUCGUCAGCUCGUGUCGUGAGAUGUUGGGUUAAGUCCCGCAACGAGCGCAACCCCUAUUGUUAGUUGCCAUCAUUCAGUUGGGCACUCUAGCGAGACUGCCGGUAAUAAACCGGAGGAAGGUGGGGAUGACGUCAAAUCAUCAUGCCCCUUAUGACCUGGGCUACACACGUGCUACAAUGGUUGGUACAACGAGUUGCGAGUCGGUGACGGCAAGCUAAUCUCUUAAAGCCAAUCUCAGUUCGGAUUGUAGGCUGCAACUCGCCUACAUGAAGUCGGAAUCGCUAGUAAUCGCGGAUCAGCACGCCGCGGUGAAUACGUUCCCGGGCCUUGUACACACCGCCCGUCACACCACGAGAGUUUGUAACACCCGAAGUAGGUGAGGUAACCUUUUGGAGCCAGCCGCCUAAGGUGGGAU
This 1448-nucleotide ribosomal RNA is filed under the name uncultured organism. Its description in RNAcentral is "16S ribosomal RNA". It matches the Rfam family "Bacterial small subunit ribosomal RNA". The record is from RNAcentral.